This is a ribosomal RNA of Pteropus vampyrus (large flying fox), 123 nucleotides long. NCBI's taxonomy places the organism in Eukaryota, Metazoa, Chordata, Mammalia, Chiroptera, Pteropodidae. The record is from Ensembl.
ACCUUCCGUUCAAACUUAGGAAGAAUGCAACUUAAGAUCAGUUAAGGGCAGGAAGCCAAGCAAGGUCAGGCCUGAUUAGUACUUGGAUGGGAGACUACCUAGGAAGACCAGGUGCUGUAGGUG